This 406-nucleotide ribosomal RNA is filed under the name uncultured bacterium. Its description in RNAcentral is "partial 16S ribosomal RNA". It matches the Rfam family "Bacterial small subunit ribosomal RNA", at positions 30 to 526 of the family's 1533-position model. The record is from RNAcentral.
AUUGAACGCUGGCGGCAUGCCUUACACAUGCAAGUCGAACGAGUGGCGAACGGGUGAGUAAUACAUCGGAACGUGCCCUGUAGUGGGGGAUAACUAGUCGAAAGAUUAGCUAAUACCGCAUACUAUAGGAGCGGCCGAUGUCUGCUUAGCUAGUUGGUGGGGUAAAGGCCCACCAAGGCGACGAUCAGUAGCUGGUCUGAGAGGACGAUCAGCCACACUGGGACUGAGACACGGCCCAGACUCCUACGGGAGGCAGCAGUGGGGAAUUUUGGACAAUGGGCGAAAGCCUGAUCCAGCCAUGCCGCGUGUGUGAAGAAGGUCUUCGGAUUGUAAAGCACUUUAAGUUGGGAGGCGUUACCAACAGAAUAAGCACCGGCUAACUUCGUGCCAGCAGCCGCGGUAAUUC